Molecule: ribosomal RNA, 257 nt
Filed under: uncultured bacterium
Lineage: Bacteria
Description: partial 16S ribosomal RNA
Rfam family: Bacterial small subunit ribosomal RNA
Source: RNAcentral
CGGAGGGGCUAGCGUUGUUCGGAAUUACUGGGCGUAAAGCGCACGUAGGCGGAUCAGAAAGUACAGAGGUGAAAUACCCAGGGCUCAACCUUGGAACUGCCUUUGUAAACUUCUGAUCUUGAGAUCGAGAGAGGUGAGUGGAAUUCCGAGUGUAGAGGUGAAAUUCGUAGAUAUUCGGAGGAACACCAGUGGCGAAGGCGGCUCACUGGCUCGAUACUGACGCUGAGGUGCGAAAGCGUGGGGGAGCAAACAGGAUU